GAUGGACGCUGGCGGCGUGCCUAAUACAUGCAAGUCGAGCGAACGGACGAGAAGCUUGCUUCUCUGAUGUUAGCGGCGGACGGGUGAGUAACACGUGGAUAACCUACCUAUAAGACUGGGAUAACUUCGGGAAACCGGAGCUAAUACCGGAUAAUAUUUUGAACCGCAUGGUUCAAAAGUGAAAGACGGUCUUGCUGUCACUUAUAGAUGGAUCCGCGCUGCAUUAGCUAGUUGGUAAGGUAACGGCUUACCAAGGCAACGAUGCAUAGCCGACCUGAGAGGGUGAUCGGCCACACUGGAACUGAGACACGGUCCAGACUCCUACGGGAGGCAGCAGUAGGGAAUCUUCCGCAAUGGGCGAAAGCCUGACGGAGCAACGCCGCGUGAGUGAUGAAGGUCUUCGGAUCGUAAAACUCUGUUAUUAGGGAAGAACAUAUGUGUAAGUAACUGUGCACAUCUUGACGGUACCUAAUCAGAAAGCCGCGGCUAACUACGUG
This 497-nucleotide ribosomal RNA is filed under the name uncultured bacterium. RNAcentral's name for it is "partial 16S ribosomal RNA". It matches the Rfam family "Bacterial small subunit ribosomal RNA", at positions 28 to 507 of the family's 1533-position model. The record is from RNAcentral.